Spinacia oleracea (spinach) is the source of this 682-nucleotide RNA transcript. RefSeq lists it as uncharacterized. The transcript has 2 exons. Lineage: Eukaryota; Viridiplantae; Streptophyta; Magnoliopsida; Caryophyllales; Amaranthaceae. The record is from RefSeq and is a predicted model, not a curated record.
UUUGGCGCCAUCUCAUUAAUAAAAACUUUAAAAAUACAAGAGGACACUCCCUCAUAAUCCGGCAUUGACAUACCACGUGCCGGUCAUUCACCCUCUACCAUUAUUGUGCAUGUUCUUCCUUGUUCAACCUUAUUUCAUUCUCUCUCAGGCAGCCUUCACCUCACCUCCUCACCCAAAUCCUUGGAAUUUCUUCCCAUUGUUUGCAAUUCAAGCACUUGCCAUGUCAAUUGAAGACAACUCGACCAAUAUAAGAUUUGCAUCAAUCAUGACUUCCUUUGAACAUAUAUAGGUGUGGGUUUCCUGUUACGAAAAAGACUUAUUUGAUCAACUAUACUAUCGUCUUCAUGGUGGUUCUCUCGUAUACUCUCGUAUACUCUCGUCUUCAUGGUGAUUCUCUUGUAACGGCUGCUACGUCAGGAAAACUAGAACAUUUCAAUGGCGUUUUCACGGUGGUUAUCUCGUAUACGCUCGUCUUUCCAACAUCCUGGAACAUCCCAGUUUCAUAAACCCAAUUUCUAUGGUGGUCUUCUUAGCUUCACUUAUGCUGCAAUUUCAAUCAAAAUAUUUUUGGAUAGUGAUAGCAAGCUUUGAUUUUGCUUCUUGUUAAGGGCUCGUUCCGGUAUCAUUAUUUAUUUAUUUUUUUCAGUUUUCUGCUUUUUACAAAAUAUGAAAACUUUUCAGA